This 497-nucleotide ribosomal RNA is filed under the name uncultured bacterium. RNAcentral describes it as "partial 16S ribosomal RNA". It matches the Rfam family "Bacterial small subunit ribosomal RNA", at positions 28 to 507 of the family's 1533-position model. The record is from RNAcentral.
GAUGAACGCUGGCGGCGUGCCUAAUACAUGCAAGUCGAGCGAACAGACGAGGAGCUUGCUCCUCUGACGUUAGCGGCGGACGGGUGAGUAACACGUGGAUAACCUACCUAUAAGACUGGGAUAACUUCGGGAAACCGGAGCUAAUACCGGAUAAUAUAUUGAACCGCAUGGUUCAAUAGUAAAAGACGGUUUUGCUGUCACUUAUAGAUGGAUCCGCGCCGCAUUAGCUAGUUGGUAAGGUAACGGCUUACCAAGGCAACGAUGCGUAGCCGACCUGAGAGGGUGAUCGGCCACCCUGGAACUGAGCCACGGUCCAGACUCCUACGGGAGGCAGCAGUAGGGAAUCUUCCGCAAUGGGCGAAAGCUUGACGGAGCAACGCCGCGUGAGUGAUGAAGGUCUUCGGAUCGUAAAACUCUGUUAUUAGGGAAGAACAAAUGUGUAAGUAACUAUGCACGUCUUGACGGUACCUAAUCAGAAAGCCACGGCUAACUACGUG